Molecule: ribosomal RNA, 484 nt
Filed under: uncultured bacterium
Lineage: Bacteria
Description: partial 16S ribosomal RNA
Rfam family: Bacterial small subunit ribosomal RNA
Source: RNAcentral
AUUGAACGCUGGCGGCAGGCCUAACACAUGCAAGUCGAGCGGAUGAAGGGAGCUUGCUCCUGGAUUCAGCGGCGGACGGGUGAGUAAUGCCUAGGAAUCUGCCUGGUAGUGGGGGAUAACGUCCGGAAACGGGCGCUAAUACCGCAUACGUCCUGAUGGAGAAAGUGGGGGAUCUUCGGACCUCACGCUAUCAGAUGAGCCUAGGUCGGAUUAGCUAGUUGGUGGGGUAAAGGCCUACCUAGGCGACGAUCCGUAACUGGUCUGAGAGGAUGAUCAGUCACACUGGAACUGAGACACGGUCCAGACUCCUACGGGAGGCAGCAGUGGGGAAUAUUGGACAAUGGGCGAAAGCCUGAUCCAGCCAUGCCGCGUGUGUGAAGAAGGUCUUCGGAUUGUAAAGCACUUUAAGUUGGGAGGAAGGGCAGUAAGUUAAUACCUUGCUGUUUUGACGUUACCAACAGAAUAAGCACCGGCUAACUUCGUG